AACUACCCUAUCCAACUAUGGCAGUUCGACAGGUACAUGUCGAACUGCCAUAGUUCGAUAAGUACCUCUAUCGAGACACGGUUGUUCGACAGGGUG
Molecule: microRNA precursor, 96 nt
Filed under: Oryza meridionalis
Lineage: Eukaryota; Viridiplantae; Streptophyta; Magnoliopsida; Poales; Poaceae
Description: pre miRNA MIR439
Source: RNAcentral